AAAUAAGUAAGCUAAAUAAAGCUUUUAGGCCCAUACCCUAAAUAUAGAAAAUAUAAAAAUUUCUCUUAUUUA
RNAcentral lists this transfer RNA (72 nucleotides) under Acropyga butteli. RNAcentral describes it as "tRNA-Met". Lineage: Eukaryota; Metazoa; Arthropoda; Insecta; Hymenoptera; Formicidae. The record is from RNAcentral.